GCUCCCUUAGCUCAGCUGGAUAGAGCAGCUGCCUUCUAAGCAGCCGGUCGAGUGUUCGAAUCACUCAGGGGGCG
This 74-nucleotide transfer RNA is filed under the name Synechococcus lacustris str. Tous. RNAcentral's name for it is "Synechococcus sp. Tous tRNA". It matches the Rfam family "tRNA". Rfam says of the family: Transfer RNA (tRNA) molecules are approximately 80 nucleotides in length. Their secondary structure includes four short double-helical elements and three loops (D, anti-codon, and T loops). Lineage: Bacteria; Bacillati; Cyanobacteriota; Cyanophyceae; Synechococcales; Synechococcaceae. The record is from Rfam by way of RNAcentral. RNAcentral also lists the same sequence under 13 other names.